UUAAGUCCCGCAACGAGCGCAACCCUUGUCUUUAGUUGCCAUCAUUAAGUUGGGCACUCUAAAGAGACUGCCGGUGACAAACCGGAGGAAGGUGGGGAUGACGUCAAGUCAUCAUGCCCCUUAUGACCUGGGCUACACACGUGCUACAAUGGGCAGUACAACGAGAAGCGAACCCGCGAGGGUAAGCGGAUCUCUUAAAGCUGUUCUCAGUUCGGACUGCAGGCUGCAACUCGCCUGCACGAAGCUGGAAUCGCUAGUAAUCGCGGAUCAGCACGCCGCGGUGAAUACGUUCCCGGGCCUUGUACACACCGCCCGUCACACCAUGGAAGUCUGCAAUGCCCAAAGUCGGUGGGAUAACCUUUAUAGGAGUCAGCCGCCUAAGGCAGGGCAGAUGACUGGGGUGAAGUCGUAACAAGGUAGCCGUAGGAGAACCUGCGGCUGGAUCACCUCCUUUCUAAGG
This 460-nucleotide ribosomal RNA is filed under the name Lactobacillus delbrueckii subsp. bulgaricus. RNAcentral describes it as "bacterial SSU rRNA". It matches the Rfam family "Bacterial small subunit ribosomal RNA", at positions 1080 to 1533 of the family's 1533-position model. The record is from RNAcentral. Lineage: Bacteria; Bacillati; Bacillota; Bacilli; Lactobacillales; Lactobacillaceae.